This 332-nucleotide ribosomal RNA is filed under the name uncultured eukaryote. Its description in RNAcentral is "partial 18S ribosomal RNA". It matches the Rfam family "Eukaryotic small subunit ribosomal RNA", at positions 592 to 976 of the family's 1831-position model. The record is from RNAcentral.
CAAUAGCGUAUAUUAAAGUUGUUGCAGUUAAAAAGCUCGUAGUUGAAUUUCGGGUCCCCGCGCUCGGCGCUUCAUUGUGCCGUCGUGGUGUCCCUCCUCGCCGUAAGGCGUCCUUUACUGUGAAAAAAUUAGAGUGUUCAAAGCAGGCAAUCGCUUGAAUACAUUAGCAUGGAAUAAUAAGAUAGGAUCUUGUCUAUUUUGUUGGUUGCGGACAACGAUAAUGAUUAAUAGGGAUAGUUGGGGGUGUCCGUAUUGAGCUGUCAGAGGUGAAAUUCUUGGAUUUGCUCAAGACGAGCUAUUGCGAAAGCAUUCACCAAGGAUGUUUUCAUUAA